RNAcentral lists this ribosomal RNA (111 nucleotides) under Fritillaria anhuiensis. Its description in RNAcentral is "partial 18S ribosomal RNA". It matches the Rfam family "Eukaryotic small subunit ribosomal RNA", at positions 1723 to 1831 of the family's 1831-position model. RNAcentral also lists the same sequence under 8 other names. The record is from RNAcentral. Lineage: Eukaryota; Viridiplantae; Streptophyta; Magnoliopsida; Liliales; Liliaceae.
GCGAGCGGUUCGCCGCCUGUGACGUCACGAGAAGUCCACUGAACCUUAUCAUUUAGAGGAAGGAGAAGUCGUAACAAGGUUUCCGUAGGUGAACCUGCGGAAGGAUCAUUG